GAUGAACGCUGGCGGCAUGCCUAAGACAUGCAAGUCGAACGAAGUGGCCCAAUGAAAAUUGCGUGCUUGCACAAAAUUGGAUUUGGAUUUUCCACUUAGUGGCAGACGGGUGAGUAAUGCACAGGUAACCUACCCUAAGGACUGGGACAACUAUUGGAAACGAUAGCUAAUACCGGAUGAUUCAUAGAUAGAUAACUAUUUAUGCUAAAAGGAGCUUCGGCUUCACCUCAGGAUGGGCUUGUGUUGUAUUAGUUAGUUGGUGAGGUAAUGGCCCACCAAGACUACGAUGCAUAUCCGAGCUGAGAGGCUGAUCGGACACAUUGGAACUGAGAUACGGUCCAA
This 342-nucleotide ribosomal RNA is filed under the name uncultured bacterium. RNAcentral's name for it is "bacterial SSU rRNA". It matches the Rfam family "Bacterial small subunit ribosomal RNA", at positions 28 to 334 of the family's 1533-position model. The record is from RNAcentral.